CAAUAAGCGGAGGAAAAGAAACUAACAAGGAUUCCCCUAGUAACUGCGAGUGAAGCGGGAAAAGCUCAAAUUUAAAAUCUGAGGGUCUCUGUGGCCUUCCGAGUUGUAAUCUAGAGAAGUGCUAUCCGCGCUGGACCGUGUACAAGUCUCCUGGAACGGAGCGUCAUAGAGGGUGAGAAUCCCGUCUUUGACACGGACUACCAGGGCUUAUGUGAUGCGCUCUCAAAGAGUCGAGUUGUUUGGGAAUGCAGCUCUAAAUGGGUGGUAAAUUCCAUCUAAAGCUAAAUAUUGGCGAGAGACCGAUAGCGAACAAGUACCGUGAGGGAAAGAUGAAAAGAACUUUGGAAAGAGAGUUAAACAGUACGUGAAAUUGUUGAAAGGGAAACGCUUGAAGUCAGUCGCGUUGGUCAGGAAUCAACCUUGCUUUUGCUUGGUGUACUUUCUGACCAACGGGUCAGCAUCAAUUUUGACCGAUGGAUAAAGUUCAAAGGGAAUGUGACAUCUUCGGAUGUGUUAUAGCUCUUGAUCGCAUACAUCGGUUGGGAUUGAGGAACUCAGCACGCCGCAAGGCCGGGUUUUAACCACGUACGUGCUUAGGAUGCUGGCAUAAUGGCUUUAAUCGACCCGUCUUGAAACACGGACCAAGGAGUCUAACAUGCACGCGAGUGUUUGGGUGGAAAACCCGAGCGCGUAAUGAAAGUGAAAAUUGAGAUCCCUGUCGUGGGGAGCAUCGAUGCCUGGACUUGAUCUUUUGUGACGGUUCCACGGUUGAGCGUGUAUGCUGGGACCCGAAAGAUGGUGAACUAUGCCUGAAUAGGGUGAAGCCAGAGGAAACUCUGGUGGAGGCUCGUAGCGAUUCUGACGUGCAAAUCGAUCGUCAAAUUUGGGUAUAGGGGCGAAAGACUAAUCGAA
RNAcentral lists this ribosomal RNA (912 nucleotides) under Tricholoma sp. PBM3168. RNAcentral describes it as "eukaryotic LSU rRNA". It matches the Rfam family "Eukaryotic large subunit ribosomal RNA", at positions 44 to 939 of the family's 3401-position model. Lineage: Eukaryota; Fungi; Basidiomycota; Agaricomycetes; Agaricales; Tricholomataceae. The record is from RNAcentral.